AUGAUUUCAUAAAAGAAAUGGAAAGCAAUGUGCAAGAAAUGACAUGUGAAAACAAACCCUAGGCAAAUAUCAAAUCCAUCCGAGCACAAAUUCUGGAAAAAUAUCCAAAAAAUAGUAGACACUCCAAGGAUCAUGGCACAACAAAUAUCAUGUGAAUUGGAUUAUUAUUUUGAGUGUUAUGAAUUUCUUAAUGGAAAGAAAAAUUAAAAAAAAAUGUGAAAGGAAGCA
This 228-nucleotide long non-coding RNA is filed under the name Lathyrus oleraceus (garden pea). Its description in RNAcentral is "Pisum sativum (pea) long non-coding RNA (PSAT_LNC012566)". The record is from RNAcentral. Lineage: Eukaryota; Viridiplantae; Streptophyta; Magnoliopsida; Fabales; Fabaceae.